This 305-nucleotide ribosomal RNA is filed under the name uncultured bacterium. RNAcentral's name for it is "bacterial SSU rRNA". It matches the Rfam family "Bacterial small subunit ribosomal RNA", at positions 338 to 641 of the family's 1533-position model. The record is from RNAcentral.
CCUACGGGGCGCAGCAGUGAGGAAUAUUGGUCAAUGGGCGAGAGCCUGAACCAGCCAAGUCGCGUGAAGGAUGAAGGAUCUAUGGUUUGUAAACUUCUUUUAUAUGGGAAUAAAGUGAGGAACGUGUUCCUUUUUGUAUGUACCAUAUGAAUAAGCAUCGGCUAACUCCGUGCCAGCAGCCGCGGUAAUACGGAGGAUGCGAGCGUUAUCCGGAUUUAUUGGGUUUAAAGGGUGCGUAGGCGGAAUGCCAAGUCAGCGGUAAAAUCGCGGGGCUCAACCUCGCUCCGCCGUUGAAACUGGCGUUC